This 646-nucleotide ribosomal RNA is filed under the name uncultured Bacillota bacterium. RNAcentral describes it as "bacterial SSU rRNA". It matches the Rfam family "Bacterial small subunit ribosomal RNA", at positions 1 to 640 of the family's 1533-position model. Lineage: Bacteria; Bacillati; Bacillota. The record is from RNAcentral.
AGGGGGUUUGAUCAUGGGCUCAGGACGAACGCUGGCGGCGUGCCUAAUACAUGCAAGUCGAGCGGUCCCUUCGGGGAUAGCGGCGGACGGGUGAGUAACACGUAGGCAACCUGCCUGUAAGAUCGGGAUAACUACCGGAAACGGUAGCUAAGACCGAAUAGCUGGUUUCCCCGCAUGGGGGAAUCAUGAAACACGGGGUAACCUGUGGCUUACAGAUGGGCCUGCGGCGCAUUAGCUAGUUGGUGGGGUAACGGCUCACCAAGGCGACGAUGCGUAGCCGACCUGAGAGGGUGAUCGGCCACACUGGGACUGAGACACGGCCCAGACUCCUACGGGAGGCAGCAGUAGGGAAUCUUCCGCAAUGGACGAAAGUCUGACGGAAGCAACGCCGCGUGAGUGAUGAAGGUUUUCGGAUCGUAAAGCUCUGUUGCCAGGGAAGAAUGUCGUGGGGAGUAACUGCCCUGCGAAUGACGGUACCUGAGAAGAAAGCCCCGGCUUAACUACGUGCCAGCAGCCGCCGGUAAUACGUAGGGGGCAAGCGUUGUCCGGAAUUAUUGGGCUUAAAGCGCGCGCAGGCGGNUCUUUUUAAUUCUGGGUGUUUNAANCCCCGGGGCUCAACCCCGGUUUCGCACUGGAAACUUGGGAA